GUGCUCGCUUUGGCAGCACAUAUACUAAAAUUAGAACAAUACACAGAAGAUUAGCAUGGCCCCUAAGCAAGGAUGACACAUAAAUUACCUCUAAAAGAGGUCUUCUCUC
This is a small nuclear RNA of Microcebus murinus (gray mouse lemur), 109 nucleotides long. The record is from Ensembl. NCBI's taxonomy places the organism in Eukaryota, Metazoa, Chordata, Mammalia, Primates, Cheirogaleidae.